This 304-nucleotide ribosomal RNA is filed under the name uncultured bacterium. RNAcentral's name for it is "partial 16S ribosomal RNA". It matches the Rfam family "Bacterial small subunit ribosomal RNA", at positions 506 to 807 of the family's 1533-position model. The record is from RNAcentral.
CAGCAGCAGCCGCGGUAAUACGUAGGUGGCAAGCGCUGUCCGGAAUUAUUGGGCGUAAAGCGCGCGCAGGUGGUUUAAUAAGUCUGAUGUGAAAGCCCACGGCUCAACCGUGGAGGGUCAUUGGAAACUGUUAAACUUGAGUGCAGGAGAGAAAAGUGGAAUUCCUAGUGUAGCGGUGAAAUGCGUAGAGAUUAGGAGGAACACCAGUGGCGAAGGCGGCUUUUUGGCCUGUAACUGACACUGAGGCGCGAAAGCGUGGGGAGCAAACAGGAUUAGAUACCCCUGUAGUCCCUGUCUCUUAUAC